CCUACGGGAGGCAGCAGUGAGGAAUAUUGGUCAAUGGACGAGAGCCUGAACCAGCCAAGCAGCGUGAAGGAUGACUGCCCUAGGGGUUGUAAACUUCUUUUAUAGGGGAAUAAAAUGCUCCACGUGUGGGAUUUUGGAUGUACCAUAUGAAUAAGGAUCGGCUAACUCCGUGCCAGCAGCCGCGGUAAUACGGAGGAUCCGAGCGUUAUCCGGAUUUAUUGGGUUUAAAGGGAGCGUAGGUGGGUUGUUAAGUCAGUUGUGAAAGUUUGCGGCUCAACCGUAAAAUUGCAGUUGAAACUGGCAGUCUUGAGUACAGUAGAGGUAGGCGGAAUUCGUGGUGUAGCGGUGAAAUGCUUAGAUAUCACGAAGAACUCCGAUGGCGAAGGCAGUUCACUGGACUGCAACUGACGCUGAGGCUCGAAAGUGUGGGUAUCAAACAGGAUUAGAUACCCGAGUAGUC
Molecule: ribosomal RNA, 460 nt
Filed under: uncultured bacterium
Lineage: Bacteria
Description: partial 16S ribosomal RNA
Rfam family: Bacterial small subunit ribosomal RNA
Source: RNAcentral